UGCCAGCCGCCGCGGUAAUACAGAGGGUGCAAACGUUGCUCGGAAUUACUGGGCGUAAAGCGCGUGUAGGCGGUUCGUUAAGUCGACUGUGAGAGCCCAUGGCUCAACCAUGGAAGAGCAGUCGAUACUGGCGAACUGGAGUCCCGGAGAGGGUGGUGGAAUUCCCAGUGUAGAGGUGAAAUUCGUAGAUAUUGGGAGGAACACCGGUGGCGAAGGCGACCAUCUGGACGGGUACUGACGCUGAGACGCGAAAGCGUGGGGAGCAAACAGGAUUAGAUA
This 279-nucleotide ribosomal RNA is filed under the name uncultured bacterium. Its description in RNAcentral is "partial 16S ribosomal RNA". It matches the Rfam family "Bacterial small subunit ribosomal RNA", at positions 506 to 784 of the family's 1533-position model. The record is from RNAcentral.